RNAcentral lists this ribosomal RNA (365 nucleotides) under Escherichia coli. RNAcentral's name for it is "partial 23S ribosomal RNA". It matches the Rfam family "Bacterial large subunit ribosomal RNA", at positions 366 to 736 of the family's 2925-position model. Lineage: Bacteria; Pseudomonadati; Pseudomonadota; Gammaproteobacteria; Enterobacterales; Enterobacteriaceae. The record is from RNAcentral.
GACAGCCCCGUACACAAAAAUGCACAUGCUGUGAGCUCGAUGAGUAGGGCGGGACACGUGGUAUCCUGUCUGAAUAUGGGGGGACCAUCCUCCAAGGCUAAAUACUCCUGACUGACCGAUAGUGAACCAGUACCGUGAGGGAAAGGCGAAAAGAACCCCGGCGAGGGGAGUGAAAAAGAACCUGAAACCGUGUACGUACAAGCAGUGGGAGCACGCUUAGGCGUGUGACUGCGUACCUUUUGUAUAAUGGGUCAGCGACUUAUAUUCUGUAGCAAGGUUAACCGAAUAGGGGAGCCGAAGGGAAACCGAGUCUUAACUGGGCGUUAAGUUGCAGGGUAUAGACCCGAAACCCGGUGAUCUAGCCA